AAAAUACUUGAUAUUGUUUGAAAGAAUGAUUUUGUAUAGAAUGAUAAAAAACUAUUUAUCAUUACUAUAUUUUUAAUAUUUAGAUAUAACAACAUAAAAUAUAUUUGGAAAACUUAUUAAACCCUCUAAAAUCCUCCCAACAAAAACCCUUCAAUUCUUUCCAUUAAAUUCUUCCUUUUUCCCCUCCCUUCCCCUCCAAAUUCCCAAAGAGACCCUUAAAUCUUUCCCUUUUCUUAAUUUUUUUUAUAACAAAACUUCAAAAAAUAUUUGUAUUUUGUAUUUUUGGUUUUAUGAUUUAUUUUCUAUUUU
RNAcentral lists this long non-coding RNA (309 nucleotides) under Lathyrus oleraceus (garden pea). Its description in RNAcentral is "Pisum sativum (pea) long non-coding RNA (PSAT_LNC009206)". The record is from RNAcentral. Lineage: Eukaryota; Viridiplantae; Streptophyta; Magnoliopsida; Fabales; Fabaceae.